UACUCCGUGCCAGCAGUCAGCGUAGUACGAGGUGCGAGCGAUAAUCCGUAGCUACUCGGCGUAAGCGCAUGCAGGUGGUUUGUUAAGUCAGAUGUGAAAGCCCGGGGCUCAACCUCGGAUUAGCAUUUGAAACUGGCAGACUAGAGUACUGUAGAGGGGGGGUAGAAUUUCAGGUGUAGCGGUGAAAUGCGUAGAGAUCUGAAGGAAUACCGGUGGCGACGGCCGGCCCCCUGGACAGAUACUGACACUCAGAUGCGAAAGCGUGGGGAGCAAACAGGAUUAGAUACCCUGGUAGUCCACGCCGUAAACGAUGUCUACUUGGAGGUUGUGGCCUGAGCCGUGGCUUUCGGAGCUAACGCGUUAAGUAGACCGCCUGGGGAGUACGGUCGCAAGAUUAAAACUCAAAUGAAUUGACGGGGGCCCGCACAAGCGGUGGAGCAUGUGGUUUAAUUCGAUGCAACGCGAAGAACCUUACCUACUCUUGACAUCCAGAGAACUUUCCAGAGAUGGAUUGGUGCCUUCGGGAACUCUGAGACAGGUGCUGCAUGGCCGUCGUCAGCUCGUGUUGUGAAAUGUUGGGUUAAGUCCCGCAACGAGCGCAACCCUUAUCCUUGUUUGCCAGCGAGUAAUGUCGGGAACUCCAGGGAGACUGCCGGUGAUAAACCGGAGGAAGGUGGGGACGACGUCAAGUCAUCAUGGCCCUUACGAGUAGGGCUACACACGUGCUACAAUGGCGCAUACAGAGGGCGGCCAACUUGCGAAAGUGAGCGAAUCCCAAAAAGUGCGUCGUAGUCCGGAUUGGAGUCUGCAACUCGACUCCAUGAAGUCGGAAUCGCUAGUAAUCGUGGAUCAGAAUGCCACGGUGAAUACGUUCCCGGGCCUUGUACACACCGCCCGUCACACCAUGGGAUU
RNAcentral lists this ribosomal RNA (912 nucleotides) under Vibrio alginolyticus. RNAcentral describes it as "bacterial SSU rRNA". It matches the Rfam family "Bacterial small subunit ribosomal RNA", at positions 499 to 1411 of the family's 1533-position model. Lineage: Bacteria; Pseudomonadati; Pseudomonadota; Gammaproteobacteria; Vibrionales; Vibrionaceae. The record is from RNAcentral.